Molecule: ribosomal RNA, 253 nt
Filed under: uncultured bacterium
Lineage: Bacteria
Description: partial 16S ribosomal RNA
Rfam family: Bacterial small subunit ribosomal RNA
Source: RNAcentral
UACGUAGGGUGCGAGCGUUGUCCGGAAUUACUGGGCGUAAAGAGCUCGUAGGUGGUUUGUCGCGUUGUCCGUGAAAACUCACAACUCAAUUGUGGGCGUGCGGGCGAUACGGGCAGACUGGAGUACUGCAGGGGAGACUGGAAUUCUUGGUGUAGCGGUGAAAUGCGUAGAUAUCAAGAGGAACACCUGCGGCGAAGGCGGGUUGCUGGGCCGACACUGACGCUGAUGCGCGAAAGCCAGGGGAGCGAACGGG